Molecule: ribosomal RNA, 255 nt
Filed under: uncultured bacterium
Lineage: Bacteria
Description: partial 16S ribosomal RNA
Rfam family: Bacterial small subunit ribosomal RNA
Source: RNAcentral
UACGUAGGGGGCAAGCGUUGUCCGGAAUCAUUGGGCGUAAAGAGCGUGUAGGCGCCAGGUAGGUCUGCUGUGAAAACUCGAGGCUCAACCGAUCGAGACGUCGGGCGGAAACCAUCUGGCUAGAGUCCGGAAGAGGAGAGUGGAAUUCCUGGUGUAGCGGUGAAAUGCGCAGAUAUCAGGAGGAACACCAGUGGCGAAGGCGACUACCUGGCCUGUUCUUGACGCUGAGGCGCGAAAGCUAGGGGAGCAAACGGG